CAUCUCCGUUUGAGAGAGCACAGGCUUUUCCUUCUCUCUCUCGCGAAUCCUCCAUGAGCACGCUAGCAAGGAAAAAGACACGGCGAUUCACUGAAACGAGGUCGGGAGUUAGAGACGACGCCAUUUCAUCUUUCCUGCGCCAUCUCGCGCUGCUCCGCCUUUCUUUUCUGAGAUCGGUCAGGUUUUUUUGUUCCCUUUGUAUCUUCCUUUUGAUGCAUUGCAACGGAUCCUGUAAUCGAUGGCGAGCCAACCCCGUUGAAGGACCAAUUGACUUUGUUCUGUGCUGCACAGCAGAGUGUGGUAGGCCAGUUGCAACAAAACAAAAACACACCACGCCACUUUGAACUUACUGUUCCCCUUCUUCACACACAUCCCCCUGGACUUACGGACGGUUUAUUUUAAGGACUUUUUACGGACUCUAUACAUCCCACGAACAGGAAGGGAAGUGGGUGUGGGCGGUUGGAUCUAUUUCUCCAGCUGAAUAAUUGUUGCAAUUUGUUAACAAAGUCUAUGAAGAUACAACCAAGUGUUGUUAUUUGGAUUUUGCUAAGUGAUAUUGUGGUUCAUUUUGGAAGUGAACUUUGUACAUUUAGAAGGGUGCACCCAGGUAAGGUUUCUUUUUUUGUGAUUACUGUGAUUGUGCCACAGGGUUGUCACUGAGGAAAAUACUGGUACCAAAAACAGAGACUUUUAUUUAUAAUAUUUUGUAUGUUUGUAAUUUUCUUUCUUUUGUUUCUGGAUGACAAAAAAUACAAAGCCGGCAUUUUCAAAACUCACAGUUGCCUGAGUCUCAUUCAGUUUGCCUCUCCUGUACAUAGC
Oreochromis aureus is the source of this 819-nucleotide long non-coding RNA. RefSeq lists it as uncharacterized. The transcript is spliced from 3 exons. NCBI's taxonomy places the organism in Eukaryota, Metazoa, Chordata, Actinopteri, Cichliformes, Cichlidae. The record is from RefSeq and is a predicted model, not a curated record.